This 735-nucleotide ribosomal RNA is filed under the name uncultured bacterium. Its description in RNAcentral is "bacterial SSU rRNA". It matches the Rfam family "Bacterial small subunit ribosomal RNA", at positions 59 to 757 of the family's 1533-position model. The record is from RNAcentral.
AAGUCGAACGGAAGUCGUUGUAAUGAAUUUGAAGUGGACAGAGAACUUGUUCAAAGAAAGCAAAUGAUGAUUUACAACAAUGGCUUUAGUGGCGGACUGGUGAGUAACGCGUAAGCAAUCUGCCUAUUAGAGGGGAAUAACAAUGAGAAAUCAUUGCUAAUACCGCAUAUGCCAUAAGAAUCACAUGAUUCCAGUGGGAAAGGAGCAAUCCGCUAAUAGAUGAGCUUGCGUCUGAUUAGUUAGUUGGUGGGGUAACGGCCUACCAAGACGACGAUCAGUAGCCGGACUGAGAGGUUGAACGGCCACAUUGGGACUGAGAUACGGCCCAGACUCCUACGGGAGGCAGCAGUCGGGAAUAUUGCGCAAUGGAGGAAACUCUGACGCAGUGACGCCGCGUAUAGGAAGAAGGUUUUCGGAUUGUAAACUAUUGUCGUUAGGGAAGAUACAAGACAGUACCUAAGGAGGAAGCUCCGGCUAACUACGUGCCAGCAGCCGCGGUAAUACGUAGGGAGCGAGCGUUAUCCGGAUUUAUUGGGUGUAAAGGGUGCGUAGACGGACUUACAAGUUAGCUGUGAAAUCCCUCGGCUUAACUGAGGAACUGCAACUAAAACUGUAAGCCUUGAGUGCAGGAGAGGUAAGUGGAAUUCUUAGUGUAGCGGUGAAAUGCGUAGAUAUUAGGAGGAACACCAGUGGCGAAGGCGACUUACUGGACUGUAACUGACGUUGAGGCACGAA